CGUCACACCACGGGAGUUGGAGACGCCCGAAGCCGAUUAUCUAACCUUUUGGAAGAAGUCGUCGAAGGUGGAAUCAAUAACUGGGGUGAAGUCGUAACAAGGUAGCCGUAUCGGAAGGUGCGGCUGGAUCACCUCCUUUCUAAGGAGA
This 148-nucleotide ribosomal RNA is filed under the name Clostridioides difficile. RNAcentral describes it as "partial 16S ribosomal RNA". It matches the Rfam family "Bacterial small subunit ribosomal RNA", at positions 1395 to 1533 of the family's 1533-position model. The record is from RNAcentral. Lineage: Bacteria; Bacillati; Bacillota; Clostridia; Peptostreptococcales; Peptostreptococcaceae.